UACGUAGGGGGCAAGCGUUGUCCGGAAUUAUUGGGCGUAAAGCGCGCGCAGGCGGUCUCUUAAGUCUGAUGUGAAAGCCCCCGGCUCAACCGGGGAGGGUCAUUGGAAACUGGGAGACUUGAGGACAGAAGAGGAGAGUGGAAUUCCAAGUGUAGCGGUGAAAUGCGUAGAUAUUUGGAGGAACACCAGUGGCGAAGGCGACUCUCUGGACUGUAACUGACGCUGAGGCGCGAAAGCGUGGGGAGCGAACAGG
This 253-nucleotide ribosomal RNA is filed under the name uncultured bacterium. RNAcentral's name for it is "partial 16S ribosomal RNA". It matches the Rfam family "Bacterial small subunit ribosomal RNA", at positions 524 to 776 of the family's 1533-position model. The record is from RNAcentral.